This 116-nucleotide ribosomal RNA is filed under the name Lepisosteus oculatus (spotted gar). Lineage: Eukaryota; Metazoa; Chordata; Actinopteri; Semionotiformes; Lepisosteidae. The record is from RNAcentral.
AGCAGCAGCCAUAUCACCCUGCAACUCACAACUGCCAACUCCUCGAAGCUCAGCAGGUGUGAGUCUGGUCAGUACCUUGAUGGGAGACCUCCUGGGAAAAACUAAGGCUGCUGUUG